AGAGUUUGAUCCUGGCUCAGAACGAACGCUGGCGGCGCGCCUAACACAUGCAAGUCGAACGAGAAGGCGUAGCAAUACGCUUGUAGAGUGGCGAACGGGUGAGGAGUACGUGGGUGACUUACCCUCGAGAGGGGAAUAACUUGCCGAAAGGUGAGCUAAUACUCCGUACGCUUCCGGCUUUGCGAAGCCGGAAGGAAAGCUGUGCCGUUGGGUACGGCGCUCAAGGAUGGGCUCACGUCCUAUCAGCUUGUUGGUAGGGUAACGGCCUACCAAGGCAACGACGGGUAGCUGGUCUGAGAGGACGAUCAGCCACACUGGCACUGCGACACGGGCCAGACUCCUACGGGAGGCAGCAGUGAGGAAUAUUGCGCAAUGGGCGAAAGCCUGACGCAGCGACGCCGCGUGGGGGAUGAAGGUCUUCGGAUUGUAAACCCCUUUCGGGAGGGAAGAUGGGGCGGGCAACCGCUCGGACGGUACCUCCAGAAGCAGCCACGGCUAACUUCGUGCCGGCAGCCGCGGUAAUACGAAGGUGGCAAGCGUUGUUCGGAUUUACUGGGCGUAAA
This 563-nucleotide ribosomal RNA is filed under the name uncultured Nitrospira sp. RNAcentral describes it as "bacterial SSU rRNA". It matches the Rfam family "Bacterial small subunit ribosomal RNA", at positions 8 to 564 of the family's 1533-position model. Lineage: Bacteria; Pseudomonadati; Nitrospirota; Nitrospiria; Nitrospirales; Nitrospiraceae. The record is from RNAcentral.